Molecule: ribosomal RNA, 191 nt
Filed under: uncultured bacterium
Lineage: Bacteria
Description: partial 16S ribosomal RNA
Rfam family: Bacterial small subunit ribosomal RNA
Source: RNAcentral
GUAGGCUGNAACUCGCCUACAUGAAGUCGGAGUUGCUAGUAAUCGCGGAUCAGAAUGCCGCGGUGAAUGCGUUCCCGGGUCUUGUACACACCGCCCGUCACACCAUGGAAGUUGGGGGCGCCCGAAGUUGCCUAAGAAAUAAGGUACCUAAGGCGAAACCAAUGACUGGGGUGAAGUCGUAACAAGGUAUC